CCUUGUAGGUGGGGAGCCGGGGCUUGAACCUGGGUCCUUGCAUGUGAACUUAACCGAGUGCAUGAACAUUUGGCUCUUCUUUCGUUUUGUUUGUGCAUCAAAUUCGGACAAGAAGCAAACAGGGUCUUGGACAUUCAGUCGAAAUACUUGAAACAUGACACUACUUGGCACUGAAUGUCGUUGACGAGAAGCUGGGAAGGAGUGACUUCUCUGCAAGUCACAGCCCCACUAGCCUCCCCCCCCCCCACCAUUGACUUGUCAGUCAGGACCUCAAGUUUUGAAACAGUCAGGAAAAAAAGAACAAUCAAGGAUCUGCUGACCUCAGGAUGCAAACACUGUUCUAAUGUGAAGACAUCCUUGGUGAGACUUACCCAACAAUAUUUCAUCCGAUCAUCAUUUAGCCAAACCACAACAAUACUCCUGAGACCUCUUCAGUUUCACUGACAGCAUCUGUCAUUCCAGCGACUGCAAAUGGGGUUCUCUUGCAACGGUGCUGGUGAGAUGCUCUGUUGCCUGAGAGGAAAAUG
This is a long non-coding RNA of Erinaceus europaeus (western European hedgehog), 527 nucleotides long. RefSeq lists it as uncharacterized. The transcript has 3 exons. Lineage: Eukaryota; Metazoa; Chordata; Mammalia; Eulipotyphla; Erinaceidae. The record is from RefSeq and is a predicted model, not a curated record.